UGGGGAAUAUUGGACAAUGGGCGAAAGCCUGAUCCAGCCAUGCCGCGUGUGUGAAGAAGGCCUUUUGGUUGUAAAGCACUUUAAGUGGGGAGGAAAAGCUUAUGGUUAAUACCCAUAAGCCCUGACGUUACCCACAGAAUAAGCACCGGCUAACUCUGUGCCAGCAGCCGCGGUAAUACAGAGGGUGCAAGCGUUAAUCGGAAUUACUGGGCGUAAAGCGCGCGUAGGUGGUUAUUUAAGUCAGAUGUGAAAGCCCCGGGCCUAACCUGGGAACUGCAUCUGAUACUGGAUAACUAGAGUAGGUGAGAGGGGAGUAGAAUUCCAGGUGUAGCGGUGAAAUGCGUAGAGAUCUGGAGGAAUACCGAUGGCGAAGGCAGCUCCCUGGCAUCAUACUGACACUGAGGUGCGAAAGCGUGGGUAGCAAACAGGAUUAGAUACCCUGGUAGUCCACGCCGUAAACGAUGUCUACCAGUCGUUGGGUCUUUUAAAGACUUAGUGACGCAGUUAACGCAAUAAGUAGACCGCCUGGGGAGUACGGCCGCAAGGUUA
This 549-nucleotide ribosomal RNA is filed under the name uncultured bacterium. RNAcentral's name for it is "bacterial SSU rRNA". It matches the Rfam family "Bacterial small subunit ribosomal RNA", at positions 355 to 896 of the family's 1533-position model. The record is from RNAcentral.